RNAcentral lists this ribosomal RNA (468 nucleotides) under uncultured bacterium. RNAcentral describes it as "partial 16S ribosomal RNA". It matches the Rfam family "Bacterial small subunit ribosomal RNA", at positions 28 to 507 of the family's 1533-position model. The record is from RNAcentral.
GACGAACGCUGGCGGCGUGCUUAACACAUGCAAGUCGAACGGAAAGGCCCUGCUUUUGUGGGGUGCUCGAGUGGCGAACGGGUGAGUAACACGUGAGUAACCUGCCCUUGACUUUGGGAUAACUUCAGGAAACUGGGGCUAAUACCGGAUAGGAGCUCCUGCUGCAUGGUGGGGGUUGGAAAGUUUCGGCGGUUGGGGAUGGACUCGCGGCUUAUCAGCUUGUUGGUGGGGGAGUGGCUUACCAAGGCUUUGACGGGUAGCCGGCCUGAGAGGGUGACCGGCCACAUUGGGACUGAGGGACGGCCCAGACUCCUACGGGAGGCAGCAGUGGGGAAUAUUGCACAAUGGGCGGAAGCCUGAUGCAGCAACGCCGCGUGCGGGAUGACGGCCUUCGGGUUGUAAACCGCUUUCGCCUGUGACGAAGCGUGAGUGACGGUAAUGGGUAAAGAAGCACCGGCUAACUACGUG